Molecule: small nuclear RNA, 334 nt
Filed under: Sorex araneus (European shrew)
Lineage: Eukaryota; Metazoa; Chordata; Mammalia; Eulipotyphla; Soricidae
Description: 7SK RNA (ENSSARG00000016011.1)
Rfam family: 7SK RNA (bases 1-295)
About the family: 7SK was discovered as an abundant small nuclear RNA in the mid-70s but a possible function has only recently been suggested. Two independent studies have found that 7SK RNA binds the CDK9/cyclin T complex (known as elongation factor P-TEFb).
Source: RNAcentral
GGACGUGAGGGUGAUCUGGCUGUGACAUCUGUCACCCAAUUGAUCACCAGGGUUGAUUCGGCUGAUCUGGCUGGCUAGGCAGGUGUCCCCUUCCUCCCUCACCGCUCCAUGUGGUCCCUCCCAAAGCUGCGUGCUCGGUCAAAGAGGAUGGCCUUCCCUGAAUAAAGACGGACGGGUCUUUGGUCGAGGGUAAAUGAGUAGCAGCACUCCCACUGCUAGAACCUCCAAACAAGCUCUCACGUAUUUUUCAUAGUUAUUAAAAAAAUCAGUAAAUAAAAAUACAAUCCCGGGAUGUCGAAGUAAAUUCAGACAAAGAAAACUUAGUGACAUACUC